RNAcentral lists this ribosomal RNA (373 nucleotides) under uncultured bacterium. RNAcentral describes it as "bacterial SSU rRNA". It matches the Rfam family "Bacterial small subunit ribosomal RNA", at positions 527 to 898 of the family's 1533-position model. The record is from RNAcentral.
GUAGGGGGCAAGCGUUGUCCGGAUUUACUGGGCGUAAAGAGCGUGUAGGCGGCCAGGCAGGUCUGUUGUGAAAACUGGAGGCUUAACCUCCAGACGUCGACAGAAACCGUCUGGCUAGAGUCCGGAAGAGGAGAGUGGAAUUCCUGGUGUAGCGGUGAAAUGCGCAGAUAUCAGGAAGAACACCAAUGGCGAAGGCAGCUCUCUGGGACGGUACUGACGCUGAGACGCGAAAGCGUGGGGAGCGAACAGGAUUAGAUACCCUGGUAGUCCACGCCGUAAACGAUGGGUGCUAGGUGUGGGAGGUGUCGACUCCUCCCGUGCCGCAGCUAACGCAUUAAGCACCCCGCCUGGGGAGUACGGCCGCAAGGCUAAA